Tympanuchus pallidicinctus (lesser prairie-chicken) is the source of this 3286-nucleotide RNA transcript. It is a transcript of the gene named olfactory receptor 14C36-like, with no coding region annotated. The transcript is spliced from 2 exons. NCBI's taxonomy places the organism in Eukaryota, Metazoa, Chordata, Aves, Galliformes, Phasianidae. The record is from RefSeq and is a predicted model, not a curated record.
GGCAGUGUGAAAGCCAGGGGGCAGGCAGGCAGGCACCGGUGUCGGCUGUUGUGACCUGGUAAUUUCAAGGACGGACCAAGGUUCUGAAGGAAGUAGGACAGACUGUUUCAAUGGUAUGUGGAGGUGUAGUUGUUGAUGGUACGUGGAAGCGUAAUUGAGGGUAUGAACAGUGGAAAUGUGGAAAACAAAGCAGAAAAAGGGUAAAGGAAGAACUGAAUUAGAGAUCUUAAAGUCGGUGAUCUGCUCUAGCCAAAGUAGAUUGGCACCAGCAUGAGAAUGCAUCCCCCACACUGCCCCCCCGCACAGCUUGUAAGCAGAACUCUGGGAGGAAGAGCUGGAGGCCAGAGGCUAACGCAUCCCCUGCACUACCCCUGUCAAAAGCAAAGUGUUACUUGUGAACAGGGAAAGGACAGAACACUGGAAGUGAGAAUAAGCCUUUAUUUGCAGAGAUCUAGGAAACCCAAGAUCUCACUGUCAGCCCUGGAAACCUUGGAGGGGGGAGACGGAACUAUAUGAAGUAGGUUUUUUUGUUUGUUUGUUUUUGUUUUUUUUUGUGAAGUUUGGGAGAUGAAAAGGUUUGGGAAAGACACAGGUUAUGGAGGGCAAAUAAGAUCAAGGUUUAUCUGUGGCAAUUAAACACAGACUCCGUUGUUACUGCAGAACAAAAACUUUUAUUGUGUGCCAUGCACUUGAGCAAUAUGCACUUGGUCAAGUGCUUUGUUAAACAUGACCCUCAUGCUGCAAGUGACAGUGCUGGGUCUUCCAUGCUGCCCUGAAGGAGAGGGUGCUGGAGCUGGGCUCGUCCCUCCUGGGCCAUCCCGCACACCCGGUCUGUGUUGCUGAGUGCUGGACCGAGGCAUGGCUCUGUCAGCCUUAUCUCAAGUCUGUUAUACCUCAGCGGCAUCUCCCAGCAGUAGUGACGAGGUCGUGCAGGCUGUCAAAUACUUGGGUGUCAGUCACACAGAGCUUGUGGCUGUUUGCAUGCUGCCGCCAGUGUAUGCGACACUGCUGCAACUUCUCACGGUGCCAGAAGGACAGAACACAGUCCCUAACAAAUGUCUCACUCUCCCUGACAAGAAAGGAGCCAUCAGGGCCUCCAUCCCUGCACAGCACUCUGCCAGCAGCCGCUCAGCAAUGUGCCGCCCUCUGUGCCCUGCCCCCAGCUGCUAUGGAACCAUUUCUGCGCAAUGCUGCUCCACGUUGGUGCUCAGCUCCUCUGUGCAGGCCACCUCCCUCGUCUUCUCCUGGUUGGGGGAGCAUAAAGCGGGUUCCAUGCAUCAGUGAUGGACUCCUCCAUCAUUUGGCAAUCCGCCGCCUGCUCCUUUGUUGCACACAAACCCAUGGUUCCUUGCCACUCACCUCUGCCAAGCCACCUCAGUUUUGGCGAGGUUUGCCAAUGGUCUUUAUAGCAUCUGCUCACAUCUAUGCCAGGUGUACAAGCCAGACGUCUCAUGAUAGUGUCAAGAGGAUCUGUCUGGCAUGAAUAGUUAGAAUCUUUUGAUUUUUCCCUCCAUAUCUGCUGAACUUGCUGGUGAGUAUGAGAUGCAGCAGAGCACCUCUCCUCUUCAGUUCUUCUAUGGCUUGGUCAAGAAGCUGCCAGCUGUGCUCUCCGGGGAUCUCCUGGAUGGUGCAUGCCCUGCUGUGCUGUCCCUGCAGCACAUACUGGAUUAGAAAAGGCCCCCAAAGGCAACAAGGGCCUGACAACAUGAGGCUCCCAUCUGUCUGCAGAGGGCACCUUCCACCUGUUUUCCUGACCAAGAAGCCAUUCACUCUGACCUGCUUCCUCUGCCAUUCACAGGAAGAGCUCAGUGCACUCUCACAUUUCCGUGUCUUCUCACCCAUCCAUCGUCAAGACUCUGUAUGCUCCUUGUGCUACAGUCCAGUUGUGGAAGCCAUUUAACCGUGUCCCUGUGGUCCAAACAAGAACACAGGCCUGCAACAUUUCUAGCCCAGCUUGUGUUGGUGUUCUACUAGUGUAAAAACACAUAAAGAAACAACCUUAUGGGGAAGCAUCAUUAGAUUUAGCGUGGCUGUAUACUACAUCUAUUGUACUUGUGUUCAGAAGGUGGCACACAGGCAUUAGACCCAUUGUGGGGCUUGGAGUUGUCCAAGCAGCAUGCACACUCCUAGGCUUUCCUGAAGGCCUAUGCUCUAUUUGCAGCGACGUGUGAAUGUGCUGGAAACCCAAGCUAAUUGGCAUGAUGUCAGGCUGCUUCUGAAGCAAUUCACAUGAGAACACAUAGAAAACUGAUGUUUUGUCAGUUGAAGGAUAAAGCUGUGUGUUAGCUUUGCAGUGCCUUGAUCUCCAGAAUGUGCAGCAGAAGGAGAAUAGAGAAAGAUCUAGGUCUUCUUUUGGGAGCUCAGCCAUUUAGUAAAAUUCUGCCUGCUCCAUGGAGAUGGGUGAAAAAUACACUUUGAGAUGCCAUAAAUGCAGGGGUUUGUUCUCCUUUAGGAUGGUCAAAAAUACUGCUAAUCCUUCCCUGGCUCUCAGGAAGUAUGUGUCUAUCUCAGGGAUGUCCCACACACUUCACAAGCACUGGCACACAUCCAGGAGCACCCCAGGCACCUUGGUCAUCAACCAGGGUCUGUGUGUGAGCAACUGACUCCCUGCUGAAGGACCAAGGACUCAGAGCAGGAGCUCACAUGCAGGCAACUCCUUGUGCACAUCUGAACUCAACCAGAGGAAUCCCUGAAACUCCUGUGGGUCCUUGCAAAGCUGAAUCUCAUUUCAACCAUAGGGUUUCCAUCUAGGGAUGAGAUGCCUGCAUUGCCUCAGCUGGAUCACUGCCUAGCCCAGGGAAGUCCACCCCUCCCUGUCCUCAUCCUUUUAGUUACAGCAAGCACUCACUGGUAGGACUAACUGUAUGUCUGGAAUUAGUCACUGUUCACUGGGAUUUUGGUGGCUAAUUACACAGAUUUCAGAGUACAGUCAUGACGCUGUUGUCUUUCAGGAGCUGUUGGCCAUGGAGACCCAGGGACAUCUCAGGGGAGAUCAGUAGGGUGCAUAGAAAAGACAUCCUCUGCUGCUGAGGUACUCUGGGCUCCUGGGACACAGGGAACUCAUAUAAAGGGCAGUGCUGCAGAGAGACAACUGUGCCCAGGAGCUGCUCUUCUGCACGGCACAGCAGGGCUGGGGGCAUGACAUGCAGGUGGAAGAGAGAAGAAGGAAGAGAGCUUACAGGUAGUGAGGUGUGCUAGCAGACUGUGAGCUCACUGGAGGAGCAUUUCCCACAGCCCUUGACAAGUUAAGUCUCUGGCUUCAGGUAAUGCAGCUGCUUUUACUGGA